RNAcentral lists this ribosomal RNA (304 nucleotides) under uncultured bacterium. RNAcentral describes it as "partial 16S ribosomal RNA". It matches the Rfam family "Bacterial small subunit ribosomal RNA", at positions 506 to 807 of the family's 1533-position model. The record is from RNAcentral.
CAGCAGCAGCCGCGGGAAUACGAAGGGUGCAAGCGUUACUCGGAAUUACUGGGCGUAAAGCGUGCGUAGGUGGUGGUUUAAGUCCGUUGUGAAAGCCCUGGGCUCAACCUGGGAAUUGCAGUGGAUACUGGGUCACUAGAGUGUGGUAGAGGAUAGUGGAAUUUCCGGUGUAGCAGUGAAAUGCGUAGAGAUCGGAAGGAACAUCUGUGGCGAAGGCGGCCCCCUGGACAAAGACUGACGCUCAGGUGCGAAAGCGUGGGGAGCAAACAGGAUUAGAUACCCGCGUAGUCCCUGUCUCUUAUAC